CUAUUUGAUUGUGCCCUUACUACAUGGAUAACCGUAGUAAUUCUAGAGCUAAUACAUGCGAAAAGUCCCGACUUCGGAAGGGAUGUAUUUAUUAGAUUAAAAGCCAAUGCGUUUAACGACGCUUUUCGGUGAUUCAUAAUAACUGUUCGAAUCGCACGGCCCUUGUGCCGGCGAUGUUUCAUUCGAGUUUCUGCCCUAUCAACUUUCGAUGGUAAGGUAUUGGCUUACCAUGGUUACAACGGGUAACGGAGAAUUAGGGUUCGAUUCCGGAGAGGGAGCCCGAGAAACGGCUACCACAUCCAAGGAAGGCAGCAGGCGCGCAAAUUACCCAAUCCCGAUUCGGGGAGGUAGUGACAAUAAAUAACGUUGCAGGCGCCAACGGCUUCUGCAGUCGGAAUGAGUACAAUAUAACACCCUUAACUAGGAACAAUUGGAGGGCAAGUCUGGUGCC
Molecule: ribosomal RNA, 451 nt
Filed under: Hormiphora cucumis
Lineage: Eukaryota; Metazoa; Ctenophora; Tentaculata; Cydippida; Pleurobrachiidae
Description: SSU rRNA
Rfam family: Eukaryotic small subunit ribosomal RNA
Source: RNAcentral